RNAcentral lists this long non-coding RNA (5072 nucleotides) under Homo sapiens (human). Its description in RNAcentral is "HSALNT0114464". Lineage: Eukaryota; Metazoa; Chordata; Mammalia; Primates; Hominidae. The record is from RNAcentral.
UUGAAGUCCUUAUAAAAUCAUUUCUCUUGAGGGUGGGGUGGUCGGGGAGGGGGCGACAGAAGGUGGACACAGAUAAAAGAGUGAAGGAAUUCCAAGCUGAAAGGUGACAAGCAUGCUGAGCCACAUCUAGCACUACCUCUCCUCAGUGAAGUGACUGGGGAAGCCAAAUGGAUGAUCCACCACCUGGACAACUUCUUGAGCAACUGGUCUCAGAGAAUGCCAUUUUACCCAUCGUGUUCCGACACUAGGGGAGCCACGGGAAGAGUUUGUGGCCAAGGAAAAGGCCCAUAGACCGAGGAUCUGGCUAUGUCACCCAGGCAAGAGUGCAGUGGCAUGAUCUCGGCUCACUGCAGCCUCAACCUCCCAGGCUCAAGUGAUCCUCCCAUCUCAGCCUCCUGAGUAGCUGUGACCACAGGUGUGUGCCACCAUGCUCAGCUAAUUGUUUGUAUUUUUUGUAAAGACAGGGUUUUGCCAUAUUGCCCAGGCUGGUUCCGAACUUCGGAGAUCAAGUGAUCCACCUCUUUGGUCUCCCAAAGAGUUGGAUUAAAGGCACUGAGCCACUGUGCCUGGCAGAAGCUUUUAAUUUUGAAAUUGUUAUAUAAUUCUGAGUUUUCAGUGUUGGUUAAAAUUUUCUCUACUCCUAGAUUUUCUUACAAAAGUAUUCUCAUUACAAUUUUACAUCUAAAUUUUAAUUGUUAAUCUGAAAAAGGUAUAAUAAUGCGUUAUUUUUCUUGUGUUUCUAAGCUUUUGGACAGUUCAUAUUCAAAAUUAAAGCCAGUGCUUUUAAUCCAGAAAUACAUCACUUGAAAAUGUGUUGGAAGAUUUUUUUUAAGUAAAAACACUUACUAAUAUACUGCUUAAAAAUAUACUGCUUAAAAUAUACUAAAUAAAAAUAUACUGCUUAAAAAUAUACUAAAACAAUACAACUAAUAAACUGCUUAAAGAUAAGCUGAUUCUGUGUUUCCUAACUCUCUGGACUUCUUGUAAGAUGUAACCUGAAAUACUCUCUCUAAUAGAAGAAUCGAAUCGAAUGUGGUCUAUUUAUUUUUAGUGUGAUGAGAGGUAUUCCUGUUUUGUUAGUUUGUUUGUUUGUUUGUUUUUUGUAAUUUCAACCUUUAUUUUAGAUUCAGGGGAUACAUAUGCCGGUUUGCUACAUGGAUAUUGUGUGAUGCUGAGGUUUGGAGUACAAUUGAGCUCAUCACCCAGGAAGUGACUAUAGUACCCAGAAGUUUUUCAACCCUUGUCUGCCUCCUUCUCCCACCUCUAAUAUUCCCCAGAAUCUAUUGUUGCCUUUUUUAUGUCCAUGAGUACCCAAUGUUUUGCUCCGUCUUGUAAAUAAGAACAUGUGGUAUUUGGUUUUCUGUUCCUGAGUUAAUUUGUCUAGGAUAAUGGCCUCAAGCUGCAUCAAUGUUGUUGCAAAAGACAUGAUUUCAUUCUUUUUUAUUGCUGUGUAGUAUUCCAUGAUGUAGAUGCAGCACAUUUUCUUUACCCAGUCCACCACUGAUGGGCAUGUAGGUUGAUUCUAUGUCUUUGCUAUUGUGAAUAGUGCUGUGACGAAAAUGUGAGUGCAUCUGUCUUUUUGGUGGAACAAUUUCUUUUCUUUUGGAUAUACACUCAGUAAUGGGAUUGCUGGGUUGAAUAGUAUAAAUUGGUGCAAAAGUAAUUGCAUGUUUUGCCAUUGAAAAUCAUGGCAAAACCCUCAAUUACUUUUGCACCAACCUGAUAGUUCCAAGUUCUUUGAGAAAUCUCUGAACUGCUUUCCUCAGUGACUGAACUAGUGUGUAUUCCCACCAGCAGUGUAUAAGUACUACCUUCUCUACACAGCCUUACCAGUAUCUAUUAUUUUUUGACUUUUUAGUAAUAGCCAUUCUGACCAGUGUGAGAUGAUAUCUCAUUGUGGUUUUAAUUUGCAUUUCUCUGAUGAUUAGUGAUGUUGAUUUCUUUUAAUGCUUUUUGGCCACUUGUAUGUCUUCUCUUGAGAAAUGUUUGUUCAUGUGAUGAACUCUGAUGGAAUGCACUAUUUAUAAAUUUCUCUAUGUGUUUAAUUAAAUAUUUUGUUUUUUUGCAUUUGGGGGCUAUGUUUUUGAACACACACAAGUUCAGCUUUGUUAUAUUUUCCUAUGAAUUUUUUGUUAGCAGUAUAUAAGUAAUCCUUUUGCUUAUAUUUUAUACAUGGCAUGCAUAUUUUAUACAUGAUUGUGUUAGGCCAUUCUAGCAUUGCUAUAAAAGAAUACUCAAGAUGGGGUAAUUUGUAAAGAAAAGAGGUUUAAUUGGCUCUCAGUUCUGCAGGCUGUACAAGAAGUGUGGCACCAGCAUCUGCUUCUGGUAAGGGCCUCAGGGAGAUUUUACUCAUGACAGAAGGCAAAGGAGGAGCAGACACAUUCACAUGGCAAGGGCAGGAGUGAGAGAGGGAGCAAGGGCAACAACUGACUCUUGAGUGAACUCAUUACUGUACGGAUGGAACCAAGCCGUUCAUGAAGGAUCCACUCUCUUGACCCAAACACCUCCCACCAGGCCCCAUCUCCAACACUGGGGAUUACAUUUCAACAUGAGAUUUGGAUUAUUCAUGAUGUAUCCCUUCUUUCUUUACUUUAAGUUUAUUACUUAUCUUACAUGAUUUUCUCAAAUCUUUAUUGUUUAUUAUUUCUGUGGGUUGAUCAAAUUUGUAUUCAAUUUAUGUUUUUAAUGACCUUGUUUUAGAAUUUCUGAUGAUGUAAUUUUACAUUUCAUCAAUGGCUGACUUUUCUUUCUUUGCUCACAUGAUCAAUCAAAAAUAACCCAAACAUGUCCCCCUAAAUUUCAGUUUACCAUUUAAUAUGCUCUAAUUUUUCCUUAUUUUUCUGCCAUCCCAAUAUCAUAAGAAUGUUAGAAAACUUUCACCAUCCUUUUCCUAUAACUUUUCUUCCUACCCCCAUGAGAACUUUAGAAUGUUUUACUUCAUCUUCUCUUUGUCCACUCCACCCUAACUUACAUCAAGAAUUUAGGGAGUUGUGCCAUAUUUUUAUCCUCUGUAACAGUUUUUUCAGAUAGGUAUUAUAUGUUACCCGAAGAUUACAUAUAAUUUGCCAAGAAAAACAUUGUUGUCUGGUGUUUUUCAGGACUAUUUCUUUCUCUUUUCUUUGUUAAUGAUAAGUGGAUUUAAAAAUACAAAUUUAGUUUUUUAAAGUUAAAUUAAUAUUUUUCCAAUAAAUUAUUUAAGUGUUAUCUCAGUAUUAAAAUUUACCAAAGAUAAAAUUAUUCAUGUAUUCUUCUGUGGUUAAAAAAAUCUCUAUUAUAAAUAUAAUGCCCACUUUUCACCAAUCACUUUUAUCAGAGGUUUGUUCAUCUUCGUAGACAACGUUUGGGGUUUGCAUUUGUUGGCUGGUCCUAUAUAUUUUGUUUUGUUUACUUUCUUUUUCUCUUGUCAAUAUUUUCUUUCUCCUACAUUUAGGUUUGUUUUGUUUCUUAACUAUGAGUUGUUGAUUACUCAUUGUUUUCAUCCUUUCUUUUCAUGUUAGUAUUUAACAUUAUACCUUUUACUAUGGACAGUUUUGUAGCUGCAGGUUACAUUUUUUUAAUAUAGUAUGGUCAUCAUUGUUAUGUUCUAGUUUCUAAUGUACGUUUUAAUUUUUUCUUAGAGUCAAAAUAAUCUGGAAGAGGGUUUUGAUACUGAUAUAUAUUAAAUUAAUAUAUAUAAAUGAUUAUAUUAUUUGAUAAAACUUACUGUGAAUUAUUAAGUGUUCAAUAUUUAUAUAUAUUCCAUGUGUGUUUGUAAAGACUGUGUACCCUCAAUUACUGGGUGCAGAGUUGUGCAUCUGUUCAUUAGAUAAAGCUUAUAAAUCAUAUUUUUCAAAUAAUAUAGGUUCAUAUCAAUUAAUUACUGGAAGAGGUAGGCUAAAAUGUCCAACUCUGAUGGAAUUUCUCUAUGUGUUUAAAUAUUUUGUUUUUGCAUUUGGGGGCUAUGUUUUUAAGCUCAUACAAGUUCAUCUUUGUCGUAUUUUCCUAUAAAUUUUUCCUGUUAGCAAUAUAUAAGUAAUCCUUUUGCUUAUCAUUAUGCUGCUGGAAUGUAUAUUUUAUUAAUAAGGCUUUAUUUAUUUAUUUAUUUAUUUUUGAGACAGAGCCUCACUCUGUCACCCAGGCUAGAGUGCAGUGGCACGAUCUCAGCUCACUGCAAGCUCCACCUCCCGGGUUCACGCCAUUCUCCCACCUCAGCCUCCCAAGUAGCUGGGACUACAGGUGCCUGCCACCACGCCUGGCUAAUUUUUUUUGUAUUUUUAGUAGAGACGGGGUUUCACCAUAUUAGCCAGGAUGGUCUCGAUCUCCUGACCCCAUGAUCUGCCUGCCUUGGCCUCCCAAAGUGUUGGGAUUACAGGUGUGAGCCACUGCACCCGGCCAAUAAGGCUUCAAUAGCUUUGCUUGGUAGUCUUUUUUUUAGUCUAUCAUUCUCUAUCUCUUUAUUAUAUUCAAUGUAUUUUGAUGUGUCUCUUAUAAACAUUGCAAGGAUUUGUUAAAAAUCUUAUCAAACAGGAAUGACUUUCACUUUUACCCAUACAAAACAUAAAGCUAAAAGAUUGGACAAAAUAUGUGAAGCAAUGAUUUCCAGACAGUGGACUUUGGACAUUGACAGUGCAAGCCUUUAAUCCCUAACAGAAGAGAAUCUCACGAGAUGACUCUCACUUCAUGCUAGCUCUGUGCCUGGAGAAAAUUUUCUGAGCACAAAGAGGUAGAAUGCAACCAGAAAGAAAACUGUGGCCCUACUGAACUGAGGAAGAAGAGGUCAGAGUUCUGGAAUCAGAAAGAGCAAGUAGGAAGGGUGCUGCACCUAAGGACUCUAGAUCCUUGGUUUGGGACUGGGCCUCACACAUGUAAUGUGAGGCUCUUGAGACUGAGGAGGACUGCUGUUCGGUCAGGAUCAGAAGGAAUAUGCUAGAGUUCAAGCCACCAUGCAAGAUCCGUGAGCAACUCCUUAGGUGAAUUGUGAAAGACAGCCAGAUGGCUGUGCUCCAUUUCUCAACCUCCUCUGCAGCUAGGUGUAGCCAUAUGACUGCCUUUCCAAUGAAAUUGAAGUAGAACUGAUGAGUACAAUCUCUGCG